GGCCAGUGUGGCAUAGUGGUUACAGUGUUGAAUUACAACUCUGGAGACCAGCAUUCAAUUCCCAGCAUGGCCA
Molecule: transfer RNA, 73 nt
Filed under: Phrynosoma platyrhinos (Desert horned lizard)
Lineage: Eukaryota; Metazoa; Chordata; Lepidosauria; Squamata; Phrynosomatidae
Description: tRNA-OTHER
Source: RNAcentral